GAUGAACGCUGGCGGCGUGCCUAAUACAUGCAAGUCGAGCGAACAGACGAGGAGCUUGCUCCUCUGACGUUAGCGGCGGACGGGUGAGUAACACGUGGAUAACCUACCUAUAAGACUGGGAUAACUUCGGGAAACCGGAGCUAAUACCGGAUAAUAUAUUGAACCGCAUGGUUCAAUAGUGAAAGACGGUUUUGCUGUCACUUAUAGAUGGAUCCGCGCCGCAUUAGCUAGUUGGUAAGGUAACGGCUUACCAAGGCAACGAUGCGUAGCCGACCUGAGAGGGUGAUCGGACACACUGGAACUGAGACACGGUCCAGACUCCUACGGGAGGCAGCAGUAGGGAAUCUUCCGCAAUGGGCGAAAGCUUGACGGAGCAACGCCGCGUGAGUGAUGAAGGUCUUCGCAUCGUAAAACUCUGUUAUUAGGGAAGAACAAAUGUGUAAGUAACUAUGCACGUCUUGACGGUACCUAAUCAGAAAGCCACGGCUAACUACGUG
This 497-nucleotide ribosomal RNA is filed under the name uncultured bacterium. RNAcentral describes it as "partial 16S ribosomal RNA". It matches the Rfam family "Bacterial small subunit ribosomal RNA", at positions 28 to 507 of the family's 1533-position model. The record is from RNAcentral.